RNAcentral lists this long non-coding RNA (394 nucleotides) under Gossypium barbadense (sea-island cotton). RNAcentral describes it as "long non-coding RNA (GBAR_LNC010778)". Lineage: Eukaryota; Viridiplantae; Streptophyta; Magnoliopsida; Malvales; Malvaceae. The record is from RNAcentral.
AAUUACCAUCGUGGUCGUUGCAAUUCCAGAAGGUCUUCCUUUGGCAGUGACCCUAACUUUGGCCUAUUCUAUGAAGCAAAUGAUGGCUGAGCAUGCAAUGGUCAGAAAACUUUCAGCUUGCGAGACGAUGGGUUCAGCCACAACAAUCUGCACAGAUAAGACAGGUACCCUUACUUUAAAUGAAAUGAAGGUUAUGGAGUUUUGGCUAGGGAAAGAAUUAAUGGGCAGUAUUUCCUCAGAAAUAGCACCUAAUGUCCAUAAGUUACUGCAACAAGCGGUUGCUCUCAACACAACCGGUACUGUUUAUAAGCCAAACUCUAGAUCACUUCCUGAAAUUUCUGGUAGUCCAACUGAGAAAGCAAUUCUCUCUUGGGCUGUCUCAGAUUUGGGGAUG